RNAcentral lists this ribosomal RNA (32 nucleotides) under Rhodiola integrifolia. Its description in RNAcentral is "partial 26S ribosomal RNA". The record is from RNAcentral. Lineage: Eukaryota; Viridiplantae; Streptophyta; Magnoliopsida; Saxifragales; Crassulaceae.
GCGACCCCAGGUCAGGCGGGGAACUACCCGCU